AAGUCGUAACAAGGUUUCCGUAGGUGAACCUGCGGAAGGAUCAUUAACACGUAUCCAACGUUAAACCCCCUGUGAACCUUCAUUGUACGAGUUACAUCCACGUCAUAAACCGGCAAUCUCUGGUAAAUCAUCGCCGAACAGUUUUGAUUCAGAGACCUCUGGGAAGGGUGUACGCUUAGUGUCUGAAAGUGUCACUAGAGCUAUGUACGGAUGGCGCAGUAACGAUCGCUGGAGGCCGACACGGCCGGCGACCAGGUCACUGGGCUACGGCCCCCCUGAUCACAACCUUUGCAUGAAAACGGGCCUGCGCUGAGGUGCGGCCACCCCUAAUGCUUGAACAACUGUUAACAAUGGAUAUCUUGGUUCUC
RNAcentral lists this unclassified non-coding RNA (368 nucleotides) under fungal sp. RNAcentral's name for it is "partial internal transcribed spacer region". The stretch from base 1 to 46 matches the Rfam family "Eukaryotic small subunit ribosomal RNA", at positions 1786 to 1831 of the family's 1831-position model. The record is from RNAcentral. Lineage: Eukaryota; Fungi.